RNAcentral lists this ribosomal RNA (347 nucleotides) under uncultured Lactobacillales bacterium. RNAcentral describes it as "bacterial SSU rRNA". It matches the Rfam family "Bacterial small subunit ribosomal RNA", at positions 202 to 525 of the family's 1533-position model. The record is from RNAcentral. Lineage: Bacteria; Bacillati; Bacillota; Bacilli; Lactobacillales.
GGUUCUGCUAUCACUCUUGGGAUGGACCUGCGGUGCAUUAGCUAGUUUGGUAGGGGUAACGGGCCGUACCCAAGGCGAUGAUGCAUAGCCCGAGUUGAGAGACUGAUCGGGCCACAUUGGGACUGAGGCACGGGCCCAAACUCCUACGGGAGGCAGCAGUAGGGGAAUCUUCCACAAUGGACGCAAAGUCUGAUGGAGCAAAACGCCGCGUGAGUGAAGAAGGGUUUCGGCUCGUAAAAGCUCUGUUGUUGGUGAAGAAGGACAGGGGUAGUAACUGACCCUUUUGUUUGACGGUAAUCAAUUUAGAAAGUCACGGGCUAACUACGUGCCCAGCAGCCGCGGUAAAU